GUCUAUUAUUGUUGUCUCUAAUUGCAUCUGGUUUUUAAUUUCCCAACUAUUUUGGGUUCAUUUUAAGCUAGCCAUAUAGCAAUUUUUAAAUAAUAGUUGGUUAAUUGAUGUAUCCCGGGUUAACCUAUGCUACCAGCAAAGAGAAAAAAGUUAAGAAAAGGAAAAAAAAUCUAGAAGAAAAAGAGAUUCAUCCAAUCACUGAUCGUGCUGCAGUGAGAGACACCCCUAAGAGCCAAUAGUAGCGGCGCAUUCAUAAGUCCCGCCCACUGGUCGCGCCGGCGCUGCUUUCAGCGUGUCGUGAGCAGAUGAGAGAGAGAGUCAGAGCAGAUCAGCACAGACGGACCAGACAGUUUCUCCAGAAAAUCCACUGAUCUAACUGGAAAUGUGAUUGAGUGCACUAAAAGUGGAGCUUUUGAAGUCGAUGCGUCAGCCUGAAGUGUUGUCGCCGGAGACAGAGAAGAGAGACGGAGCGGAUCCCAGCGUGUUGAAGCACUACCCAAAGGAAAAGGACAUGGACAAGACAAAUGAAUGACUGUUGAUGAGUAUCAAGCACAACCUCAACAGAGACUCAAAAGAGGCUGAAAUAAUGGAGGAAAACGGAAAAAUUGAGAAAUGACAACAAAAAUAGCUACCAAAUCUGAUAAAUGAAGUGAAGAUGGCCCUGAAGUCUCUGUUUGUCAGCAUCAGUCACGUAACUUGGAUGAUGGGACAGGAUUUGCCACAGAGUAAUUACAGAGCCCUUCCAAAAGAACAGGAGCAACGUUGCAGAAAGUGUCCUCAUGUGGUGUCUACCAGCAUUGGUACAGCAAAUAAUGCCAAACUUACUGAAAUUAGAGGGAAGAAUACACAAAAAUAUCUGAAAAUCUUAAAGGUGAUAAAGAGGAUCUUUUCGUCGACUGAGAAACCAAAGACUGUUACUGAGUUUUUGAAAUGAGCGCAUGCGUAAGAACAACCCCCCUCCUUUCGA
This is a long non-coding RNA of Megalobrama amblycephala (Wuchang bream), 967 nucleotides long. RefSeq lists it as uncharacterized. Lineage: Eukaryota; Metazoa; Chordata; Actinopteri; Cypriniformes; Xenocyprididae. The transcript has 4 exons. The record is from RefSeq and is a predicted model, not a curated record.